RNAcentral lists this ribosomal RNA (122 nucleotides) under Eptatretus burgeri (inshore hagfish). Lineage: Eukaryota; Metazoa; Chordata; Myxini; Myxiniformes; Myxinidae. The record is from RNAcentral.
GCCGAUGAUCCAUCGGCUUGAAUGUGCCCGAUCUCAUCAGAUCUCAAAAGCUAAGCAGUUCCGAGUUCGGUUCGCAUUUGAAAUGGAGAUCUUCACGUAAUGCUGACCAGGUAUUGUAAGUU